GUCCCCGUAGCUCAGCUGGAUAGAGCGACAGCCUCCUAAGCUGUAGGUCGCAGGUUCGAAUCCUGCCGGGGACGCCA
Molecule: transfer RNA, 77 nt
Filed under: Rhodovibrio salinarum
Lineage: Bacteria; Pseudomonadati; Pseudomonadota; Alphaproteobacteria; Rhodospirillales; Rhodovibrionaceae
Description: tRNA-Arg
Rfam family: tRNA
About the family: Transfer RNA (tRNA) molecules are approximately 80 nucleotides in length. Their secondary structure includes four short double-helical elements and three loops (D, anti-codon, and T loops). Further hydrogen bonds mediate the characteristic L-shaped molecular structure. tRNAs have two regions of fundamental functional importance: the anti-codon, which is responsible for specific mRNA codon recognition, and the 3' end, to which the tRNAs corresponding amino acid is attached (by aminoacyl-tRNA synthetases). tRNAs cope with the degeneracy of the genetic code in two manners: having more than one tRNA (with a specific anti-codon) for a particular amino acid; and 'wobble' base-pairing, i.e. permitting non-standard base-pairing at the 3rd anti-codon position.
Source: RNAcentral